This 792-nucleotide ribosomal RNA is filed under the name Gastrodia pubilabiata. Its description in RNAcentral is "eukaryotic LSU rRNA". The stretch from base 305 to 460 matches the Rfam family "5.8S ribosomal RNA". The record is from RNAcentral. Lineage: Eukaryota; Viridiplantae; Streptophyta; Magnoliopsida; Asparagales; Orchidaceae.
UGAACCUUAUCAUUUAGAGGAAGGAGAAGUCGUAACAAGGUUUCCGUAGGUGAACCUGCGGAAGGAUCAUUGUCGAGAUGGAGAACGCAUUUUGAGCGAUUCGGAAAACUCGUGAGCCGAGCGGCGGCCCAUCUGGCGCCGACGCGCAGCAGCGCCCGGGCCGGUGCCCCCCCUCCGGCGGGCGGCGGCGCGGGCCGGCUGAACCAAAACCGGCGCAGCGCCGCGCCAAGGGAACGCGUUUUUGCACGAUCCCCCGAGGGGGCUUCGUGGCGUGAGCGCCGUCGCGCUCCGAAAGGAAUAGCACGACUCUCGGCAAUGGAUAUCUCGGCUCUCGCAUCGAUGAAGAGCGCAGCGAAAUGCGAUACGUGGUGCGAAUUGCAGAAUCCCGCGAACCAUCGAGUCUUUGAACGCAAGUUGCGCCCGAGGCCAAUCGGCCAAGGGCACGCCCGCCUGGGCGUCUAGCAUUACGUCGCUCCGCGCCCGAGCGCACGUCGCCGGCACGGACGCGCAGAAUGGCUCCUCGCGUACGCUGGCGCGGCGGGCUGAAGUGCGAGUUGCGCCGCUCUCGCUGUGGCCGCGGCCGACAAGGGUGGGAGGAAACGAUGCGUGCCUCGGACAUUUGUCCCGCGCCGCGGCCGACGGGGCGGCAUGCGCUCUCGAGAUCCCGAAUCCCUGCGCCGCGAACCCGCGGCGGCUAGGAAUGCGACCCCAGGAUGGGCGGGGCCACCCGCCGAGUUUAAGCAUAUCAAUAAGCGGAGGAGAAGAAACUUACCAGGAUUCCCCUAGUAACGG